Molecule: long non-coding RNA, 24880 nt
Filed under: Marmota monax (woodchuck)
Lineage: Eukaryota; Metazoa; Chordata; Mammalia; Rodentia; Sciuridae
Rfam family: tRNA (bases 4660-4728)
Source: RNAcentral
GCUAUCUCCCCAAAGCCCUGCUGUUGAUCUAGGAAUGUGCUACAGGCCCAGCCGUGGCCUUUGGCUGGCCACUCUGUGAUUUGAGUACAACGGUCAGAUUUCCACCAGCUGCUCCAAACUGCCUGCUUCAGAAAGAUGUCCCUGGCACCCACUGCUCAGCGUUCAUCUGUAGCCCGUGCUCACCAGGGGCAUGCGCAGUGCCUCCCAAGGAAAGGGUAGGCAGGGACAGACUGGAGGACGAUUAUUGGAAGUAGGUGAGCCCCAGUCUAGGGCUCCUGCCCUCGGGGUAUUUUCAGGACAGGGCAGGAGUCCACUGGGGAGUCCAGUCCCCUAGCCAAGGCUGAGGACUAUCCUGGCUGUGGCUCAAUCUGAGCCACCCAGGGGGAGGGUUCUCUUGCUGAGUCCACCUGUGGAGCAAAGGCACAAGGUAAGUGGGACCAGAGAAGCCAGCUGGAGGAGGUUGGAAUGGGAGCGUAGCACUUAUUGAGCACCUAUGGUGUGCAGCAGGCAAUGCCGGCUGAGUCUGCUCUCUCUGUGUUGCUCAUUAUUUGAGGAAGAGAUGGAGUGACUGGGCCUGUGUUGGGGCCACAGGGGAACCUUGAAGAGGUGGAGGGUGGAGAUCUGACUCCUGCUGGAGCCAGGAAGCCUUCACAGAGGAGUCGGAGUUGAUGCUUGACAGUUGAAAACGAGGAGGGCAUUUUCAGGAGGAGGGAACAGCAUUUGUGAAGGUCAGAGGUCAGGAGGAAUGGCCAUGUUGGGCAUGUGAAGAGUCUGGGUUUUUCAUGGUAGGAAUUUAUAGGUGAGGAGGCUGAGUAAUAGGAAGCUCUAUAAGGCUUCCCAGGACACAGGUGCUUCCGUGUGAAAAUCAGGAAAGUCCUAGGAAAAUUGGGGUGAGUUUUUCACUGUCCUGGGUAAUCUAACUUGGGUUCAGAUAGAAACAGGCUUUGAACAUACUGAUAAGAUGUCUGGAACCAUGGUAAGUUAUAAAAGUUUAUUUUUUGUGUGUGGGAGGGGGUAAAGGGAAGAGGAAGAAGUAGGCAUGUGCUAUAAACCAAGCCCACUUUAUUUCUACCCAAUGGAAAUAAUUAUCUCCAGUUUGCAAAUGAGAAAAGUGAGUAUCAGAGACAGUAAGGUACUUGUUCCAUGUAACACAGCAAAUAAGUGGUAGAGGUGGGUUUCUGGGGUAGGUGUGCUUGGUUCCAAAGCUAAUGCUCUGAACCACGGAGUCACCUGUGUCAGGACGAAGCUCUAGAAGGACAAGGGGUGGGUAUUGUACCCCACAAUAGAAGUUGCCUGGGAUUUCUCUGAGUUGAGGCCUCAGAGGCUCUGGAAAGAUGGCCAGUACUAUGUGACCCUUGGUUACCCUGUCUGUGUCAAUAGACGGCCAGCAAGCAGCCCCAGGGCUGGCUGGGUCUCCCUACCUCUGUGUCCCCAUUGUCCACCCCAGGGUCUGAUUAGGAUAGGUCUCAGUGAGUAAUAUGGAGUGGAGCAGGGACCUGGCCUGGCCCCACGGUGACUGACAGGAGCCUGAAGGGGCUACCCAGUAGCCACUCCCAGUGGGGAAAGAGCAUUGCCUGCAGACCGCAGGAUGGGGCAGUCCCUGGAGCACACGGAGGCGCCCCCUCACUGAGCAGGCAGCAAACACACGCUCGGCUCAACCCUUAGCAGAGAAGGCCCAGGCUCACCCAUGACCAGCCCAGGCUGCUUGGCAACGUGGCAUUUGCAUAUGCCCAACAGAGACAGGCACAGAGUGUUAAUGGGCUGAUGGAGGAGCCCUGACCUAGAACUAGACACGGGUGAGUGGGGAGAAGCAGGCGGUAGGAGGGAGGCCAGCAGGAAAGAGGAGCCAGGGUGUGGGGGCCUGGCAGCAGGUGUGGCAGGCAGCAAGUAUGUCAGGCAGAGGGCCUGAGUGUCGGGACAGGUGGCUGGAGCCAAAUGACAGGAGUCUGGCUACAGGCAGCCAGUCUUGUGUGCCUGAUCUGCGGCAAGGCUGCACCUGCAGAUGGUGGUCAGGGGGCUGCUGCACAGGGCAGGAAGCCAGGCACACUAAUGUUCGGGGCAUAUUAGAAGGUGGGAUAUGCACGCCUCCUGAACUUGGGCACAUGCCUGGCUUCUAGGCCAUCCUGUGCCCAGCAGGCCCUUGGCACUUGGGGUCAGCCCUCUGAGGAGGGCAUCUCAAGGUCAGAACAGCAGCAGAGCCUUCUCCUCUGCAAGAGAAGCUGCCCUGACAGCCCCAUUGGCCCCAGGAAGAGAAAUGCCAGGGCCAGUGGUUGAGUUUAGUCAGACUGUUGGUGGACACAAUGAAAGAGGUGUCCCAACCUUUGGUAGAAAGCCCACGCAGUACAGUCUCCAGAGAAAUGACCCCUCUGUCCCUUAGAAGGUCCACGUUUUGGUAAGGAUCAAGGAAAGGCCCACAGUGGGUGCCACAUGGCCAGGACUCCCACAGGCCUCUGUGCAGCAGUGGGGUCCAGAGGGACCCGUUCUGGCCAGGAACAUUUUCCUGGGCUCAAGGCUUAGGUGGGGGCUCCUUUGCAUCUCCCUGGGAGAAGAGGGAGAGAGAGGCAUUGCUUAAUGGGUACAAAGUUCCUUCUGGUGGUGAUGAAAACAUUGUAGAAAUAGUGCUGAUGGUUACACAACAUUAUGAGUGCAAUUGAUGCCACCAAACUGUGUGCUUAACUAUGGUUAAAAUAGCAAAUUUUAUGCUACAUAGCCAUAUAUUUUACCACACUGGAGGAAAAAAAUUGUCAGGGUCAUGAGAAAGAGGGAAAGACUGAGAAAAUGUUCAGUCUCUUUCCGAAAGAAAGAGAUUAAGGCGAUGUGACAACCAAGUGAAACAUGGUGGCUGGGAUUGGAGCCUGCACCAGAAAAAUGACCAUUUAAUGUCCAUGAAGGAAAAACUGGUGACAUCCAAAUAAAGUCUGCAGUCGGGUUAAUAGUAUUGUUCCAAUGUUAAUUUCGUCUCUUUGACAAAUGUACCGUGGUUAUGUAAGAUGUUCACAUUAGCAGAAGGUGGGUGCAGGAUGCAUGGGAACUCUCUGUAUUCUUUGCAACUUUUGUGCAAAUCUAAAACAAAAAGGCGCCGGGACUGCCAAGGAGAGAUGUGGGGCGGCCUUGGCACCUGGGGCCCUGGCUCGGCCCAGAAAGGCUGGGUGGCCUGGAGUUGGCUCUCAGCUGGCAGGAGGGAUCUAGCCCCAGCUCCUCUGAGAUGACCCCUGCUGAAAAACAGGGGCAGGUGAGAGGUGGGGUUUCCCAGCGUGGGGUAGGGCUGGUGAGCCAGGCCUGGCUCUGGCAGCAGGUGCCCUGGGAGCUCUUUCCUGGUUCUCCUUGCUCUCCUCAGUUCAGCAGAAUCUGCUCACCAAAGGAGGGCUCUUUGCCUCUCUGGGUCCUGGGGAAUCUCAGGGGUGCUGAGGGCUUGGGAAGGCUCAUCGGGCAUUAAGGGUUGGGGUCUGGCUGCAUCCUGUCCAUCCACAUGCAGAAUUCAGGGGGCUGACAGCCCUUCCCUGGUGCUGCCCUGGCCAUCUGGGAAAAGGAAGGGUGGAACCGAGGUGGCCACUGCCAGGGGGCUGGGACUAGCUGGAACGAGAAAUAAUCAGGACCCUGAAUCUCCCUCAUCCUAGGCCCCCUCCCCUUUCUACACAUCUUGUGUUCCAUUUUUAUCUUGGCUCCACCCAUGGCUUCUCUGCUGCCCUCAGGAAUAUGGGGAAGUCAGUGUCUAAGGUGAGCUUUCCCAGCCCAAAGCAGUCAUGUGGCCAACAUUGGCCUCAGCAACAAGGACAGGCUGCAGGAGAGGCCCCCAGAGUGGUUAGGUCAGGGAGGAGAAAACAGGAAGUGACUAUUUAGUGAGCACUUACUGAAUGGCAGUCUCCUUGAAUCUCCAAAUCAACUGCAAGAUAAGUCGGUGUAUCCACCCUACAGACCAGGAGAUGAAGGCCGAGAGCAGUGUGGGAUGAACCACCUACCUGCGUCAGGAAACUCAGGUGUCUUUGAACUCCAGAUUCUGAUUCUUUCCUCUGGGCUGGGGUGAGUGAGGGGUGGGGUGAAUCUAACUUCCCAGGCUGGGGUCAAUGUCCAGGCGGAGGGACAUUCAGAGCUUCUAGGAGCACUGAUGACAGGACAGGAGGCACACUUGGCAAUGUCAUUCUCUGGAAGGGGGCAGAGUGUGCCUUUUUUGAGGCCAAAGGUUUUAGAGAUAGAUGCUGGGCUUGGCCCAGGAGGAGGUGACCUAGUAAGUCAUGCGUGGACCUGGGUGACAGAGCCUCUGAGGUGCUGGUGGAGCCUCUGCAGGGAGGAGAGGUCCUUUCCCAGCUGCCACAUUCUGUAUGUGGGUCUCUUGGUCAGUUUUGUUCUUGGAGAGGACACACACUUCCUGGAGGAGGUCUGGAGCUGGACGUUCCUCCCUGUCCCUCUCUGUACCUGUCCAUCCUUCCAGACCUUGCUCUUACACACCCUUGCCAACUUCAACCUGUGCAUGUCCCCAGCCUCCCCUUCCCCAUUGCUCCCUCUGGGGGACCUUCUUCACCUUUAGGUAGCUCCCCAGUUACAGCCCUGAGUGCUGGUUUCCUUGGUCAAGUUUCGGUGGCUGCUUUACCAGCACCUCAAGCCCUCAGACAGCCCAGGAGGUCUCUCUCUUCCCUUUUUCAAGAUAGCAUAUGUAGGGCUGGGGUUGUGGCUCAGAGGUAGAGCGCUCGCCUAACAUGCGUGAGCCACUGGGUUCCAUCCUCAGCACCACAUUUAAAAAAUAAUAAUAAAUAAAUAAAUGAAAAAAAAAGGCAUAUGUGAACUUUAGGCUCAGUAUAUAUUGGAGCAGGGCUGGGGCCAUGCUUCUUUGGAAAUCCUGAAUAGAGACAAAGGAGUCACAUGUAGAAAGAUUGGGCUGGAGCCCAGGUAUCUCCCCAAUGAGCUGUGUCUGUGUUAGGCAGGUCUUGCACAGAGUUCAAGCCAAGGCCCAGACCCAUUGUGCUGCUCCUCUGGGUACGGCCUUUGCUCUGAAUUCUACUCCCCCAGGAGAGAGGAGAGUGGGCCUAGAACAUUCUGUUCCUGUAGGCUGUGGAUUUUGGCUAUGAUUGUGCAAAAGAUGAUUGGUGUGUUACUAGUAAAUGCACAGUGAUCUAGAAAGCAAUAACCACUCCACCAAUCUUCUUAGAAGUCUCAGAGAGCUGUGGGCUUGCUUUCCUUUAGAGGUAAGUCUCUAGCAGGACACAAAGCAUGUCCGCUGGAGGCAUCCCCUGAGAUCUGUGGGCCAAGAAAAGUUUGCAGGGGCCUGAGGAAGCAGGCCGGGCUUUGCCUCAUGGGAUCUAUAGCUGACACAGAGCACUUUGGUGCCACCAGCUUCCCUUGCUCCAGAGUGUCUGAUGGAUAAGCACUGCUGUGUCACAAGGUCACUCUCAUGUUAACUGAGUUUAUCCUGCAUUACCCCUGCUGGGGUCUGCCUACAUCCCUAAAUCUUAAUUCCUAGUCUUCGGCCUCAAGGAAGGCAUGAGCCAAGCACUGCUGUUGCUUUUGUUCAACAAGUGCUUGGAGUAAGGGGUCACCAGCAACUGAAAGAUUCAAUAUUCAUACACUGGGGAGCUCAAAGCAGCAAAGUCAGGUGUGAAAUAACUACAGCCACAGUAUGAUAAGGGCCUGAGAGGAUGCAAGAAAGGGCUGCAUCGUGGGGAAAGAGAGGCUUGGAGUGCUCCACAGAGGAAGGGGCAUUUGACACUUAAGGACAGAGAAUACUGCCAACCUUGGGAUUCACAUUUUUAUGUUUUGUAUUGAAAGAGGAAGAGCUGAGGACAUAGUUCAAUUGCAUAGAGCUUGCCUAGCAUGUGUGAGGCCCUGAGCUCUCCAUCCCCAGCACUGAAGAGAAAGGAGAAAGAAAGAAAGAAAGGAAGGAAGGCUGGGGAUGUGGCUCAAGCGGUAGCGCGCUCGCCUGGCAUGCGUGCGGCCCGGGUUCGAUCCUCAGCACCACAUACAAACAAAGAUGUUGUGUCCGCUGAUAACUAAAAAAAAAUAAUAAAUUAAAAAAAAAAGAAAGAAAGACCGGCCAGGUGCAGUGGAAUACACCUGUAAUCCCAAUGACUCGGGAGGCUGAGACAGGAGGAUCGAGAGUUCCAGGGCAGCCUCAGCAACUUAGAAAGAUUCUGUCUCAAAAUAGACCCUAUCCCUGAAAAUAAAAUUAAAAGGGCUGGGGAUGAGGCCAGUGCUAGAGCACUUGCUAAGCACAUGCUGGCCUUGGGUUUAAUCCCCAGGACUGUGCAAACACGCCCACACAACCUCUCCCCUGCAAAAAAAAAAAGGUGAGGUGCCAGGCUGAAUGACAGCUCUGGCAGAAGGAGGGUGCAGAGGUAGAGUAACCCAGCGCUAGGUCAAGAAGGACCUGAUUCCUCAGAAGGCGAGGAAGAUUGAGGCCAUCAUGAAAAGGCCAGUCCAGUGUGGAAACCUGGGGGUGCUCAGGUCAUGCUCACUGGGUCUGAGCCUGGUCACCCCAGUGCACAGUCUAGAGCCACUGUCACUUUCCAGGAAUUGCAAAGGCAUCCAAUGCCUUCUGCACUGCAUGAGCUCAAAAGCAUACCCUGAAAGAGACGGGUAUGGUGCCCCUCUGCUUAGGCAGCCACCAGACCAGUCAGUAGAGGCAACUGUCAGCCAGACCUAGAGAGCUCCUGGUGCAAAACUCUGCCAUAGCAGAAAAGGAACUGUGGUCGCACCAGGGUCACACAGCUCAGAGCAGGCUUGGUGCCCCUGACAUCUGCUCUGAUCUUCUUCCUGUUGAAAGAUUCCUCCCUGGCCUUGCUGAAAGCAAACUGGAGCCAUAUGCACAUCAGAGGGGAAAAUUUACAUUCAUUACAUGGAUGUCUGUUUACACUUCUCUUCUUGGAGCUAUGUGCUCAAUCAAGGCCCCCUGCCCUGUCCAAAGGAGGCAUCAAAGUGUCCCAGGGUGCUGACUCCUGCAUGUGCAGCAUUAGAGGAUGCAGCAGCUGUGUGUUGUCCCUGAGCAGCGAGCCGAGGCUUUGCUUCAAUCCACUAGUAGCUUCUGAAGCACAAGAAAGAACAGACAAGUACUUGAGUUAAACACUGCAUGGGCCAUGCAGGCCUUUGUCCUGACAUGCCCAGUUACAAAUGAACAGCUCGGUUGAUAGACCCUGAGAGCUACCUGAAAACAGAACCAAGGGAAGAGGAUUCUGACAGGGAAAGUCUGACUUUCCUCAGGCCGACAGUGCUGUGGCCAGGGCUGGGCUCCACCAUACACGCAUUAGGAGUUUGAGUAGGAGAUCUCACAAUGGCCGUUCUGUGGUAGGGCUGGGGAGAGACUGGCUGGUUUGACUCCCUGCCGUGAGUGAGGUCACUGAGCCUGGGGAGGGACCACGCUUGAUGUGUUUCCCCAGGGAGGCACUGGCUGCACUGUCUCCCAGGCAAAGCUCCUUCCUCCUAGUACACAGUGAGGCCGCCUCUGAAUUUGAGGGGGGGAAGAUGGAGAGCUGUGGGUGCCCAGCCCAAGAGAUGUGUCAGGGGAGGGGAGCCAGGGACCCCAGCAAAGAGGAGCUUAGAACCCUUCCAGCUGUGACUAAGGAAGUAGCAGGGUGAGAGAGGCUCAGGUGUAGCUGGAAAUGAGCAGCAUGAGGGAUCCUUGGGACACCCCUGUUCUGUAUCUUGCUUGUAGCAACACUAGUCUCUCUAUAUCCUGUUUGCUCUAUUGGACUAGAGCAUUGCAAGGUGUUCUCUCUGGGGGAAAUGGGGUCAAGAUUACUUGACAUCUCUCUUAUAACUACAUGUGAAUCAAAAAUUAUUUCAAGAUCAAAAGUUUAAGAGCAAAAAUUUUUAGUGGACACAUUGGUACAUGCCAGUAAUUCCAGCUACUCAGGAGGCUGAGGCAGGAGGAUUACAGAUCAAGGCCAGCCUGAGCAACUUAGAUCCAGUCUCUGAAUAAAAAGUAUAAAAAGGGCUAGGGAUGUAACUCAGUGGAAGAGCACUUGCCUAGCAUGUGCAAGGCCCUGGGUUCAAUCCCCAGUAGUGCAAAAAAAAGGGGGAGGGAUUAAAAAGGGUAAACCUCUGAGCUGGGGUCUGAGGAGAAGAGAGGACAGCCAGGAAGUAGACACUUGAGGCAAGUGGAAAUGGCCCAUGCCCUUAUCACCCAGCUGCAACAUGCCCAUCCAGGGAAGGCGGGCCACAGGCUGGCGCCAAGAGAUCUGUGAGCACAGUGACUUCUGGGCCCGAUAGAAGGGGGCAUCCAUCAGCAGGGAACAAAGACAGAGAGAGGGAGUCUGUGGGAGGAAAGGUGAGGAAGCCACCAAAGGCCCUCAGUGACUGGUGAGUGGACAGCGAGGGCCAUCGGAGGGGAUGUCGUCUAUGUAUGGCCCAUGUAUGGGGAAAAGUGCUGUCAUUGUAGUCAGAAUGGCAGUUUUCAGUCGUGCUGGACAAGUGAUCCCCGGGACAUCUCUGAGCCAACAGCUAGCCACGGGCUCAGAGGCGUAUGCAGGGUGUUUAAUACAGGCUGGGGUGCUUGCAGCUGGGCCAGAAAUGGACCACAUUCCCAGUUGUCUUCACUUCAAACCCACUGAGUGCCCACAGUGUAGCUGGCCCCUGGGAGACACCUGGAGACACAGUGCAUGCAAGGACACUGACACUGCCAUCUUUCCUGGGUGGGCAGAUGGCAGGUGACACAGAGAGCAGAAAGAUGACUUUGGCAGUAAUGAGAGCAAAUCUGGCAGUGGACAUCCAGGGAUGGGAGCUCUGUGUAGGAGCACAAGCUCCGCAAUUUGCGUGCAAAUAUUUAUAAGUGUCCCAGACAGAGCUCAGUGGCUGAGCUUCCUUCUCUCCAACUCAGUUUUGCCAAAUCUCCUCAUUUCCUGAGACGCACUCCUACAUGGCAAACCUCAGCUCCGAUCCUCAUCAAUCCCCAGUGUCUCUCUAAACUCAGAGCAUCUCCCUGUGCAGAAGUGACAGGCACAUGAAUUAGACUCAGUCCACCCCUUGAAGGCCUAGUCGGGCAGAGGGUGGGUGGGCAGCCCUCCCAGAUGGCAUCUUUGCUUUGGGGAUGUCAGGGGCACAGACACGUUCAAGCCUGGGCAGGGAGGGUGCUUGCCUCUGACUCCCCAGCCUGCAGGCAGAUCCCUUUUGUCCAUGGGGCAGGGGGAUUGAAAGAGUUGAUGGUCCUUUCCCCAGAGCCGACCCAACAUGCUGAAGCCAGGUCUACAAGGUCACCAGCAGCCCUGCUGGGGCUUGUGUUGGGCUGGAUGCCCAGGCAGGGAUUGGGGAGGCUGAUAGGAGGUGGAGGUCGAGCCUGCCCCAUGUAGCUCCAGGCUGAGCUGGUGAAAUGGGACCUCAUCUCACAAAGCUGGGAAUGCUGGGUGGAGCCCAGUCCCCUCCAGGGAAGGCUACUGGGAAUGCCAACUUGCAAAAUGUCUUUUAGAAGAAACAGAUUUGACUCAAACUUCAGAGUCUGGGGACUUAGGCACAACAGGCAAUGUGACAGCAGAGGAAGGAAGGCAUGGGCGUGGAGGCUGAGGCAGGCACUUGGUGUGGUCUCCAAUCUGGAGAGUCCCACUUAACUACAUGGCCUGAGCAUCUCCCCUUUUGCCUUGCCACUAAGGGGGUAUCAUUUUCUCUAAUUCACAGAUAAUGGAAGCAAGGCCAGAGAGGAUAAUCACCCACCAAGAGCUCAGAGUCAGUAACCAGAAUAUAUCAGAAUCUCAGCUCAUGUGAUCCCUGGGUCAAAGGACAAAGCUCCCUGGAGAAGACACAGAAACUAGCUGGGAUGAAGGCCGAAACUGACUGGGAAGCCUCUGAGAUCCCAGCAGACAGUUCCCAUGGUGAUGCUGGCUAAAUGCCCCAUACUUCUCACGUAUGGGGGAAGGCCUGCUCCUCCUGGGGCUCUUCCUUUUGCUAUGGACUUCGGCUUUGCUUCUGGAGGACCUGAGGGAGCAGCUGGUGCUGGGCAGAAACACAGCCCUAGGGUUUCACUUGGCUCCAGCGUGUCUUAACUGGGUGGCCUUGAGAAGAUCUCUUAAGCCCUCUGAUCCUCAGUUUCUUCAUUUUCUUCAUUGUAGCAAGAUCUAAUAAUACACUGCCAGUUGCUGCAAGGAUUAGUGGCAUACUGUAUGCAAAAUGCUGGACAUAUGAUCGUGCACAGUAAUGAGGAGCUAUUAAUAUUAUGGCAGCUGCCGGCUGCAGCCUCCUGCUCCUCAGUGGUCCUCGGCUUCAGUCACCCCAUUACCUCCAAGGGGGUUGCACCCACCUUGCUAGUACUGUGGGAUGGAGGCUAAUCUCCCAGGGAUUCAUUGACAGAUACCUAUGGUCCAAGAGAUGCCCUAGACAUAAGGAAAUGGAGUGGCUUCCCCGGUCCUGCAUCCUACGCACGUUAUGUAGCAUCUGAGAAGAGCUGUCGAGGUAGCAGCUGGUCCCGCAGCGCUGCCUCUCACAGGAGCGAUUAGCUGUGUCAUGCAUCCACUUGUAAUGAAAUAGAAACGUUUUGAUUUCUCUGGGAAGCCGGAUUUUCUCCCAAAUCCUUGCUGCUUUCAUCCAUGGACAUGAAACAGCCCAUUCUAAUCUCAUACCAGGAGCAGCAGUUAUAAGGAGCCCAUGAAAUCUGAUCAACCUCUCGGCUCCUGGGCGGCAGCUUUGAUUGCUGGGAGGGAGCAAGUCGUCCUGGGCCUGGUGCUAAUAGCUCCAUGCAUUAUUGAAGAGCCGUCUUUUCAGGGGCAGACACACCCCAGGAAGACAUCCGGACUGCAGACUGCGUGUCAGCCGCUUCCCUUGCUCCUUGCGAUGGAGAUUUGGGAUCUGGCAGAGCCACAAAAAAAGAGGCACUUGACAGAAAUGUUUGUGCAGCUUCCGCGUCCUCAUUGGAAGGCAGCUGAUGUGGAACAAGCAAAUAAGGUGAAACCAGCACUUUCCAAUUCUCCCAGUUGCCCUCCUCCAGAACAAACAUCUGAGGAAUGAGCAGCUGCCUGGGAGCUUCUGCAGGAGAGGGUGCGUGCCCAGGGCAGGAUGCUCACCUCAGCCAGGGCUGGGGCCUGACAGUAUCUUCCUAACCCUAGGAUACCCAGGUUUUAGAGCCAAGAGGGGCAAAUCAAGAGCUGGGCUUAACAUCCCUGAGAAUUUGCUGGAAAUGCAAAGAGGGCAGGUUUACUUUGUGAAUCCCCACUUACUGUUUGAACUAGAUGAACUAAUUAGACCCCCCCCCUUUUUUUCCAUUCAGAAAUUGGUAUUUGAGUGUCUACAAUGUGGCAGGCACUGAUUAAAACACCGAAUGCCUGACAGUGAGUGCAAACAGUUGGGAAUUCCAGUCGUCAAGAUGGCCCCACUAAUCUCUGCCUUCUUGCAUCCAUGUACUUUAUGCAGCCCCCUCCCCUGCUGAAGAGGGGUGGGUAGUCUGUGUAAUCAAUAGAACAUUGCAGAACAAGGAUGUGGAAUGUCUGAAACUAGGUUUAAGAGACAUUGUGGCUUCUCUCUUGGAUCAGUUCUCCAGGGGGAGCCAGCGCCAUGCUGUAAGAGAGGACCCCAUGGCUAUCCGGGAAGUGGAUCUUCUAGCCCCAGUCAAGCCUUUGCUGACUGCAGCCCUGGCUGACAUCUUCACUGCAAACUCCUGAGACAGCUUGAUCCAGAAGCAUCCAGCUAAGCUGCCCAAAUUCCUCACCAACACAAACUGUGAGACAAUAAAAGCUUGUUGUUUAAACACACCCUCAAUAACCAUAGGUCCCACCUCAAAGGUUCCACCACCUUCCAAAAGUGCCAGCCUGGGAUGGCAUGGGUGGCUCAGACAGCCAGAAAGUGCUUACUUAACAUGCCUGUCUGUCGUGUUCAUGAAGCUGUUAGCUUGGGUAGUAACAGGUCCGUAGUAUUACCCUUGCUUCCAGACAGAAAAAUGUCCCACUUAAGGCAAAUAUUAGACAUCCCAUGCUCCAUGACCCCUGUUCUAAAUUCUGGGUUGUUUGCUCUCCCUUGAGAAAUUUCUGACCACUUAAUACUCACCUUUAAUACCCAUCUUUUAAUUAGAAUAUAGAUAUGAUUUGUCCAAAAUACUAGACAGUUAAAUCCAAUCUCUCCCAAUUAAAAAUCUUUUGAUAGCUCCCAGUCAACUGGAAUAUUCUCAAGUCAUGCCACGUCCUCUGUGAUCUGAACCCUCCUAGAAUCACUACCUCCCACCAGCCUCACCCAGCUACUGGAAGGUUUCUGGAGUCCUAAAGGCUCUUUUGCUAUAGGACAGUGUCUAUGUAAUGACUACCCUGAACCCAGGGUUGCCAAAAGUCUCUGCUUCUUUCUUUUCUUUGUUUGCUUCUGCAGGAUUUGGCUUUGAAUCAUCUCUUCUGGAAAGCCCUUGCCCACCCUGCUGACAAGGCCACUAGAAGGUAAGCUGUCGGUCACACUCCAGGCUGCAGUGCCAGGGCUGAGAUCACCCCUGUGCAAAUCAGGAUGUGUUGGUUGUUGACAGGCAGGGUCCAUUCUGAUCGGUCAGUUUCUUGUUCUGAUUGCUUGUUUCCCUGGUUGUUAAAAUCUCCCUUUCCAAAGGCCUUGAAAGAAGGCAUUCAUUAAAUAUUUGCAGAAUGAAUCAAUGAACAAAAUGCUCUGGGCUCCAAAGUUACAAAAUAAAUUGCUUUCAGAACCCCUAUGUCAGGGUUGGUGAUUAAGCCUACCCACCUCCCUCCCCCACAAUGGGUAUUGAACCCAGGGCCUCACUCAUGCUAAAUGCAUACUCUGCCACCAACUGAGCUACACCUCCAGCCCAAGGUCCUUCUCAUCACUGGUCUUACAUUGGGAACAUUCUGUGUGGCACAGCCCUGAGCUCUUAGUCCUUCAACCAAUUAAUAAUUUUCUUUGAACCACACCAUAUUGAAUAGUGAGGGCUUCAUCUCCUUCAGCUGACUAUGUCUUUCCAACCAGCAGUCUCUUCAUAGGCCUGCACCAGGAAAAGCAGAGAAUGCACCCGCCCUACAAAAAAAUGCCUCCCACAGUUCUUGGAUCCCUCAGAUAUCCUUGGAUCAGAGGGAGUGACACCAAGUCCUCAACCUUUGUAUUGCAAUUUCCCAACUCAUAUUACAGGUUAACUCCUAACUGAAUGAAUUGCAAAGUGCUCCAGUUACUUGAAAUUAUUUUACAUUUGAGUCCAUAUCCUUCUAUAAAUUGCUAGGAAGAAUUGUAUUCUAAAUCUAAUCCAAUCAUUGUCUUCAUGGGGGAAUGCUCAAUAAAACCUCAGUGACCCCAGAUCAAGACACUUUUUGUCAUCAUCUCUACGGUCAUCUUGACUCAGGGAAGAGCAUAAAAUCAUCAUUUGGGGGGUGGGCAGGCCAUCUGAGGAAUAAAGAGGAGUGACCCACACAAUCCACAGUCAGGCUUCUUUCUCUGGCCAUCAGGAUAUGCUGUGUUUUCCCUCCAGCCUUGCCUCGCCAAGGACACUCACUGUUAUAGGUCAAGCCCACCUGCUCCAGGAAAUGUGCCAUCCAGGGUGUGACAGGAGUGGGGGGUGAGGUGGGCUAUUCAUAUGCCCCCAUAUGAAUGAACAUUUUCUCAGCACAGUAAGAGAUUUACCAAAGACUUGUCCACUGGUUGAAAAAAACAAAGAAGUUAAAUUGAUAAUGGUUGAGAUCAAAACUACCUAAACUGUACCAAAUGCUGCCUGCUUGGUGGAUGAUGGCAAGGGAGUGGCACAUGCACUUUAGCCAUAUUUUCCCAUUCAUUUGACUAGUGUUUACUCAAUAGCUACUUAAUGUGCAAGCUCUGUGUGGGUGCAUGUCCCAGUGCAUAUCUCUCUCUCUCUCUCUCUCUCUCUCUCUCUCUCUCUCUCUCUCUCACACACACACACACACACACACAUACACACACACACACAUGCACAUUUUGCUUGGAAACAUCAGUAAAUGCAGCUUCACGGUACAGAAGUAGAAGUUCUCCAAGGAGGAGCAAGGGAAUCUAAUUCUGCCCAGCUUUUCAUGGGAAGCAAAGAUAAGCCUGAAAUAUGUGGUUUCCCUGAAGCCUACAUUUUCUGGGUCCAGCAGGGGAAAGGGAUCUGGUAUCAGGCCUUUGGAGACAACUCAAGGGACAGGUUCCUGGACUUCCCUCUAGAUGCUCCCUGCUACCACCUGUGCUGUCUGUCGACUGAUCACAGGAGAGCAAGGACAGCAGGCACAUCCUGUUGGCAGCUGGGAUCCAGCCUGGGGGCUUCUGGCCACAACCCCGUUGCAAGAAGUCCUUUCCUCUCAGCUGGCUCCCCCAGCAGCUGUCUGGAAAAAGCAGCCCAGGAAAGCAGAGGGGUGGGUGAUUGAUGGGGCUGUGUGUCUUUCUCUUAUUCCUGUGAAUUUUUCAAUGGGAAAAAAGAGGCUUAUCUCUCAUUUUUAAUUGAUUUUAAUGCGGCUCAGCCAGACUAGAUCAAAUCUCAGCUCCUCUGUGGCCUGGGAUGAAUGGUGUGGGGAGCUGCCUGAAUGCUAAUAAGAGGGGUUGGGAGAGGCCAGAGGAGGCAAGGAGGCCAUUGUUUGCCUGGGAGACUUUCUCAGCUUGAUCUUGGGCUGGCCUGCUGGGAUGGACCCAUCCACAAACUUCAGGGGGUGGGGGGAGCAGUGUAUGGCUAUGGGAUGGGAGUAGUUGGCUUCUAGCCUUGGGUUGGUACACAGGGACCUAAAUGUAUUCUUGGGCCUCCAUCUACUGCCAGGUUUUGGACUUGCAUUAGUCAGCUUCAUAUUACUAUAAUGAUAUACACGAGUCAACUAACUUAUAAAGAAAAAAGGCUUACACUGGCUCAUUGUUCUGGAGGUUCCAGACCAAGAUUAGGCAGUUCCAUUCUUUGGUCCUCUGGCAGAAGUGCCACAUCAUGGCAGGAGCAUAUGGUGGAACAAGUUGCUACAUCAUGAACCAUGAGUCUUAGCAAAGAGAUAAGACUCAAUUUCACAUCCCCUUCAAAAGCACACCUCCAAUGACCAUACCUCCCUCCCUCAAAGUCUCACCAUCCCCAAGAAUGCCACCCUAGUGACAAAGCCUUUAAAACAGGGGCCUCUGGGGGUCACUCAUCCAAACCAUAGCAGGACUCCAGCCAGCAGCCUCUCAAACGCUCACCGCCCUCCUCCUCUGUCCCCCUUUCCCUGUGCUUGCACUCCUCUAGUCAGCCAUCGGUGCCUUUGUGGUUGUCUCUGUGGCACUGCCAGCCACCUCUGACAACCAGGGUGCUCCUCUCAGGUCCUGUCUCAUCUCUCCUCACCACCUCCUUGGCCCAAAGCCUUGCUGGACUCUGCUUUUGAAUGGCCAAACUCCACUGGUUCUCAGCCCUCUCCUCUCAAAUGGGGAAAUGGCAUCGCCCACUGGCAUCACUUGGAAGAGUCAGAAAAGGCAAAGCAAGUGGCACAGAGAGCACAUGCUUAGAGCAGGGGCUAUUCAGGUGUGGCUUCUUCCCAACCAGCAAACCACUGGGAACAGCAGCCAGUACAGUGUCCCUCAAGGGUGGGUGUCGGUUCCUGCUGUAACCCCACGAUGAGAUAGUGAAUUUACAAAUGCCCCCAUUGUUGCCGAAACCUUGGUCCUUGUCCCUGAUGCCAAUUCAUUAAUGAGGACAAAGUUUUGAGAAAAUGGAAAAGGAAAAAGAAGGUUUAGUGCUUUGCUAACAAAGGAGAAACACAGGGGACUCCUGUCCCAAAGGCUGUGAUUCUGCCCAUCAGCAGGAACAGAGGGUGACUCAAAGGCUACAUUCCACGAGUUCUCUGGAGUUGUAAUUUACUUGUUAAUUUAGGAGAUAGUCAUUUCUGAGGUCUUCUGAUACCAUCCCCAAAGUCUGGAUCACUUUGUUCCUAUAGUGGGUGUGUGCUCAGACAGAUAACUCUGCACUAAGAGGGGAAAGAAAGGUCAUCUUGUCUUCCCUGAGAUUAAGGAGAGGGAGGAGCAGGGAGAGAGGAAGAGAAAGAAUGUCCAUUUUAAAAAUAAGUUGAAUGGCUGAGCAGCAAGGGUUAUAUUCAAAGCAUAACGUGGACCUCUGUUACACCAUCCCAUUCUCUUAUCUGGAAAGGGACAACAGUUACCACAGAGGAGUGGUUUUCAGGCUUAGCUCCUAGAACAGAAACACCCAAAGUAGGUUAUAAAGACUGGAACCAGGGUUAUGUCUCAGAGUAUGGCCGAAUUGCUCUAGGAUCAGUUGAGCAUUGAUAGAUGUUGGAAUGUUGUAGAAGUCAAUGAGUUUAAGACAGGAUGGGGAAGAAGGCUUAUCUUACAAAGCAGAGCCCCUUAUCAGCCCCUCUAUGGGCCUCUCCCUAUGGUCACAGUCAUUCCAAUUCAAAUUCAGUGCUCCUAAAUGCAAUAGAACACCCCAGGGUCCCCAUAAACCUCAGCUGGAGGAGAAACAUCUAGCUCUCCAUAUUUCUUCUCCCUGUCUUUCAAUGAGAAGAGUUGGUUCAUUCCCACGUUAAAUACAAGCUCAUCAUUUUCUGGCAUAGACACAGACUAUCCAAGGGCUGCUUUCCCAAUAUGUAUAAACUCUGAAACACUCUUUUCCCCAGAUACCAAAACCCCUAAUCCUCACACAUACAAACAAAAGAGGUCAAAGCCAGAUUCACUGAAACACAAAUAUCUAGAAACACGUUAUUGAGAAUUGUGAAUGGCCCGAGAUUCUCCCCUAUGCACAAGCCAGCAAAUUCCCUGACUUGGUUUAAAGGACACUGGUAAAGGACAUGAGAUUCCUGGGUCAGAGAUGAAGGACAGUUUAGUAUUCACAGCAAUAACAGUAAUGAGAAUUUUAGUGCCAGAUCUCCGAGCACUAAUUUCCACAGGGUGAUGUCCAAAAGAUCAGGUGAUACCUCAGUUAUCCUGUAGGGGAAAAACUCUGAGCUUAGGACACCUAUGUUUAUAAUAAGCUGGAAACAUGCCCACUUUUCACUCAGGAGCAAGACACUGAUGGUAUUUACCGAGACUGUUCAUUAUACAACAUCCCUGAAAAGAUAGUCCAGAAAAAAGUACAGUAAGCACCUCACUUUGCAAGAUGUGCAGAAAUUCAAGAGAUCUAUGGACAACUGUCUGCUAACACUUGGGUUCACAGUCAUGCAUCCCAACAGUCUGACACACUCCCCCAGCUUGCCCUCAUAUAGCAUGUGAGCACAUCUCUGCACGGAAACAUGUAUAUUGACUCACAGGGGUCACUGUCCAACAAACAUACCCAAUGCUUAGAAAGUGCUUGGAAAGGGGUUGGGAUGGUCCUUACCCUCCCUGCCUGAGCUGAUUAUACCUAGCUUGAGUCUUCACCUCCAUCCAUGCUCCACACACCUUACACACCUUGCCCUUUGAGUUCAACUCUCUCCACUUAUAACCCACUGAGUUUAGGACAAAUCUCCACAAAUUUCUGACCUGGCUCUGCACCCUGGAGUCCUCAUUCCCCUUCUCCUAGCCCAGCACCACAUUCUUCUUCUUUUUUUUUUUUAAUAUUUGUUUUUUAGUUGUAGUUGGACACAAUACCUUUAUUUUAUUUAUUUUUAUAUUGUGCUGAGGUUCAAACCCAGGGCCUUGCAUGUGCUGGGCAAGUGCUCUACCGCUGAGCCACAACCCCAGCCCCCAGCACCACAUUCUUGACCUGUGCAGAAGCCUGGCACUUUACUUUCUGGGGUAUCCACCCACCCUCUACUCACAUGGGUCCCCUGUCUUAGCCUGAGAUACAUCCAGUACCAAUCACAGGCCUGAGGAGCUAACUGUUCUCUACACAGUGUUCCCUCCUAGUUUGUGCCUACAGAGUCCUUUGUCUCUCUGAGCUGUGAUACAAUAGUCAUCCAAGGUUUUCUGGACUUUCUUCCCGUCCUAGGCUGGGAGCUGCUGGGAAACAGGCCUUUUGUUUGACUUGUUUUGUAUCAGCUGGGUGAGCCUCGGGCCAGGGCAGGGGGCCAAGGCUUAAAAUGGGAGAUGGUUGCUGUUACACCAAUUAUAGGCCUGCAAGUAGAACAGGUUGUCUGACUUGUGGGGCCCAGUACAGAAUAAAACUGUAGGGUUCCCUUGUUUCAAAAUUGAGAAUCACAAGGCAAUGGAAGAUGUAGCCCUUCUAACUGGGAGGCCCAAAGGGAUGCAUGAAGCCAGCCCUGACCACAGGAGCUGCCUCGUGGACUGGCAGUAACAUCAGGCACCUUCAUAUGUCCUGUGGACCCUGUGAAGGCAAAGGGCCUCAGAGGGGCGCAACCUGCCCAAGGGAGUCUUCUGGAAGCCUUGGGUACCUGUGGUGAUCUCCUUACCUCCCUACUCCCCUUCUGCCUUCCUCCCUCUCUCCCUCCAUCCCUCCUUUCUCCUCUCUCUCACUCUCCCUCCCUCCUUCUGGGUGGAGGAGGAGCCUAACAUUGACAUUAUCUAGUUCUUACUAUUCAGUUAUGAAAAUUCUUUGGGCACCUACUAUGAGUGUCGACCUUGCAUGACCCAUUGGAGUCAUGCCAUGGGUCCCCUGCUCCUGAGGAAGUUCCAUACACACCCACACAAGAGAAGAAUGGAACCCCAAUUCUCUCCUCUUUGCCACUCCCCAUCUGCAUAAUUCCUGUCCACUCAUCCAAGCCCUUCCCCUUCCCUCAAUUCUUCCCCUGUAGGGCUUUAAAAUCUGUCACGAUGACGUGUUAAUGGUCAAAUGACUGUAGGCAGAUGCACAAGAAAGAUGCAAAGAGGAGACAAUGAUAUCCAGUCCAAAGUAAGUCCCUUGAUUAUACCCAGGCCUGCCACCCAGAGGGAACUAAUUUAGCGACUUCUAUUUACAGAGCUGGUGGUUAGAAUGAUAGUUCUAGAAGCGCCUAGACCUUUAUUUCAUGGUUUGUUAGCUCUGAACAGUUUCUAUUCACUUCCUGCCAUGACAAGUGAUUGAGUGUACAUCUUUUGCUCAGAGCUCAGUGUGUUCCAUUCGCGUCACACAGUGUCCCCUCACUGCCUGCUCCGCAAGAGGAAAACGGUUUCUGCCUCUGCUGCUCCUCAAUCUGAGUCUUAUGUUCUGACUUGUUUCACGGGACCAGGUGCUUUAAGUUGAUCGAGUGCAUUAGCAAACAUAUUUUACUUUAUCGGCUUCUUUUACAUCAUCGAGGCUACAGCGUUUGCAAGCCGGACUUCUGGGCUUUGUCUUUGGUUGAUGUCAAGAUAGCCUUCAUAGCACAGUGGUUACAUAAGCUUUGUCCAGGGGAGGCCCACAGGGAAGGAACUGUGUUUCUGAGUCACUAAACCAAAGCUGCAGGAAAAGAAAGACAUGAACUUAGGGGUUAGAGAGAUUCUCUCACUGCAGCCAAGGGACAAAAAAGCAUAAUAAUUUAAAGAUCUUAAUUGGCUUUAUUUUCAAUUCUAGAAUCUCCUGACACUUCAUUGCAUCAAGUAGAAUGAGUUUCAAUAGGUUGAGCAGAGGAGGCUGGUUUUGUUGUCAGGAGUACCAGAGAAAAGCACCGGGAAGAACAAAGAGGUGAUUGCAAAGUCCCUUCCUGGUGAGGCUGGAACAGCGACAGAACACAAGGAAAAUAACCAAAGAGCGAACAUCAGGUUAUUUUAGGUUCCUUCUUUUGUGAGUGUGUAAGGAUUAAAGCAGAGGGAACUUCAUUAUCAUGCCAACAAAAUUGACCUAUUUGGGGAAAAUUGGCUGUUAUCUCUCUAAUCCUGAUUUCAGGAGGUCAGAUAAACAGCUUAGUUUCAGGCUGUUGAUGGGGAACCUUAGCAUGAAUGACUCCAUUUUGCUUUUAGUCUGGGCUUUGGGCCCCUGUCAUUUUCAUUUAACCCUGCACGUGCCCACGGCUGCACAGACCCAUCGGUUGCUGUGUUUGGUUGGCCUCGUAUAUUCCAGCAAUGGCCUGUCCAGUUCAUUUAUUUUCCCAAGCUGCCUCUUAUUCUGCCCUCCCCCCUCCCCAUUUCAAGAAGGAGCACACUCUUCUUUUCUACAUUCUUAUAAUCGCUGGAUUUUAAUAUUGUUUGAAGGGAUCUAAAUUGGCUUUCUAAGUUCCUAUGUAGCCCCUGCUGGGAUUUCCUUCAGGACCCCCCUGGGUGAAUUCCUCUGUUUCUUCUACCCCAUAACCUCCUCUUCUUGAGAUUCCUUCAUCUCUCUCUCUCUCUCUCUCUUUUUUUUUUUUUUGGUUCAGGGAACUGAACCCAGGGGCACUUAACCGCUGAGCCACAUCCAGGGCCCCUAUUUGUAUUUUAUUAGAGACAAGGUCUCUGAGUUGCUUAGGGCCUCACUAAAUUGCUGCUAUGGCUGGCUUUGAACUCAUGAUCCUCCUAUCUCAGUCUCUGGAGCUGCUGGGAUUACAGGUGUGCUCCACCAUGCCUGGCUGAGAUUCCUUUUUUAUUUUGCAAGUAGUAUAUCCUCAAAUGAUCUCUAUCUGAAAGGGCAUUUACUUGACAGUUGGUGUAGUCCUAGGAUUAGAAGCUCAAGAUCAUUGUCCCUCUGAACCCUCUGGCCUCUGGCAUCAGAUAUUGGAUUCCCAUUCCUUGCACAUUGCCCAUUUGUACUAUCUAGAAGCCAAGAUCUUAUGAUUAGAUGCUUGAAAUAUGGCAAGAAUUUUUCAGGUUCCUCUUUAAACAAAGACCCACAUCUUACAGUGGGGCUCAUUUUGUGUUCUUGGUUUUCUCUUUCUGGAAUUCUGAAUGAUAAGGGCUGAGUCCCCUGGCCUGAUCCUUUAUGAAGGAACUGUGCUAAUGAUACCUCCGGGGCCACUUUUAUUUUUUUAUUUUAUUUAUUUAUUUAUUUUUAAAUUUUUUAUUGUUGGUUGUUCAAAACAUUACAAAUUUCUUGAUAUAUCAUAUUUCACACUUUGAUUCAAGUGGGUUAUGAACUCCCAUUUUUACCCCAUAUACAGAUUGCAGAAUCACAUCAGUUACACAUCCAUUGAUUUACAUAUUGCCAUACUAGUGUCUGUUGUGUUCUGCUGCCUUUCCUAUCCUCUACUAUCCCCCCUCCCCUCCCCUCCCCUCCCCUCUUCUCUCUCUACCCCCUCUACUGACAUUCAUUUCUCCCCCUUGUAUGAUUUUUCCCUUUCCCCUCACUUCCUCUUGUAUGUACUUUUGUAUAACCCUGAGGGUCUCCUUCCAUUUCCAUGCAAUUUCCCUUCUCUCUCCCUUUCCCUCCCACCUCUCAUCCCUAUUUAAUGUUAAUCUUCUUCUCCUGCUCUUCCUCCCUACUCUGUUCUUAGUUACUCUCCUUAUAUCAAAGAAGACAUUUGGCAUUUGUUUUUUAGGGAUUGGCUAGCUUCACUUAGCAUAAUCUGCUUUAAUGCCAUCCAUUUCCCUGCAAAUUCUAUGAUUUUGUCAUUUUUUAAUGCAGAGUAAUACUCCAUUGUGUAUAAAUGUCCGGGGCCACUUUUAGGUUGUGAUUUCCUUCUCUGUUCAACUAUCAGUUCAGUAUACAGUAUCCCCAUGCUUAUCCACAAGGGGAUACAUCCCAAGACCUUCAGAUGCCUGAAACCACAGGUAGUUCCAGCCUCUAUGUAUACAUACCUGUGAUUAGGUCUAAUUUAUAAAUUAAAUUAGGGAUAACAACAAUAAUUAAUAAUCAAGUAGAUUACUAUAACAUUACACAGUUGUAAAAGUUACUUAGAACUUAGGAAUUGCUUAUCUGUAGAGUCUUUCAUUUAAUAUUUUCAGACUGUGUUGCCACGAGUAACUAAAACCUUGGAAAGCAAAUCAGAUAAGGGGCUAUUCUGGUCUUCCUCCCAUUUUCCAGAAAGUCAACAAUUUGACCCCGGAAGCUCUUUGUCAUGUUGACAGGAAUUUCCGUGUGGAUUCCUAAGGGCAUCUCAGUGGGAUGGGGAAGCUGUGCUUCUACCACCUUCUGGAACAGAAAACUCCCCUCUGGAAGAUUCUGGGUCCUUCUUGGAAAGAAGGAGGGUGCCACACUGGUUUUCAGGUGCCUAAGAGGGCAUAACUUCCUGUAACAGAAGCAGAGCCUUGGUAUAGUCUGCCUGGCUCAGGGGCGCAGAUCACUGCUGGGCCCAGAUCAAGGCUGAUGGCCUCCACAGAGGGUGUCCACAGAAGGGGUGGGGAGAGCAGUGUUUAGGAAGCAAGAGGAGAGCCCCCUGCUCAAGUGGGCUGGCAGAGCCUGGAGGAGGGAAAGUGGGCCCCAGCCUCUGUGGGAAGUUGGGCCUGACCCCAGGCUCUGCAGGGCAGAGGCCACAGGCAGCUAGGUGCCGCCCACAGAGCACCUCCCUCUCCCUUCAGUCUUAAGAUGGAUGGCUUUGACAUAUGGGAGCCCCUGGAAGGAGAAGAGGUGGGUGGGAAAUGGUUGUGAAGGACUUUGGGCAGUGAGGGCUGAGGAAAGUCAGGGGAAGAUCAUGGUGGACAUUGCCAAAUGGAAGACAGGGCCGCUCACAAUAGCCCACCAGGUCCCCAGGGGCUGAACCAUGAGUGGCCCCUCUUCCCUCCUCUUUGGCUCCCUGUGCCUGAGUUUUCUGAUUUCCCUUCCACUUGCACCAUCUCUUAUCGAGCUUCUUGGGGGUCAGUGGGGCACCGUCUGUCGGUCUCAGCUCCCUAGAGGAAGCCAACAGCAGAGAUUCCCCUGCCACCAAGUGUCCCUUUUCAGAAGUACUCAGGGAGGGGAUGUGUGGGGCACUGAGUGGCAUGAAGAGGGGUUAUGAUGAGCUCUGAAUCCUGCCUGUAAGGAGGGGGCAAACCGACGGGGAUGGAGAAGACACAGGGACAGCUUCAGAAGCGCACGGCUUGGGACCUGGUUCUCCUAUAGUGACAGAUAAACUCCUUAUGACCUCCAGAGACAGGCUCAGCCUUCCAGGCUUUGAGGGAAGGGAGGGACUGCUCUGCUGGGGAGCCCACUGGCCAUUUUAGAAAUUGGAACUUAGGCCCACAGUGCGGAGGGGUCAGGCUUCUCACUCCAGGAAUCUGCGUGAGUAGCAGCUGGGGAGGGGGUCAUAUCGAAGUGGUGGGUCUGAAGAUAAACUGGGACAGGCAGAGUGUGUGGAGCGUUGCUCAGAUGGGCAGGUCUGCAGAAUGCCUGAGGCUGCCUGUUAAGGUUGGCUGCCUCCCCACCAGCAGGACAGAGCAGGCUGGACAGUUGCCGUGUCCUGCGUCUUGGCCCUGGGGCUGCUCUAGUCAACUUCUUUGUCCAAGUAGGGAGGGGGCCAGAAAGGGCGGCUGGACUCCUCCAUCCACAGGACACUCCUAUGGCCCCCAGAACAGUCCUGUUCACUGCAGGGCCUCUUGGAAGCCUACUGCCUUAGGACUCAAACUACUCCUCCAGGUAGGCUGGAGUUUGGUCCCUGAGUCCCCCACCAGCCCCAUGAGGCCUGGGCUGAGCCACUGUCCCUGCAUCUGUCACUCCUAAGUGCUCAGGGUAGGACUGGACCCUGCUUGGGGUGUUUCCCAGGGCUUGUGGGGCAUGUGGAUGAAUAAAUAAAUGGACAACACUGUCCCCAGGUCCCCUGCCCCCAGGCCCUGCCCAGGCCUGGUGCUGCCCUUCUCCCAGCCUUUCUCUCCUGCCCAGGAAGGCUGGUGCAGCCUCCCUUGCCCCAGAGUUGAACGCCAUGGCUGUUUCAAGCCUGUGAAUGGGUUCCUGAGGUUACAGGGAGUGUUGGAGGUUGUCUGAAGGAAAGAGAGGGGACUGACCCUGAGUCUUAGAGUCCUCGGGGGUGGGUUUAAGUCUGCUCGCACUGGGAGCAGCUGCCCAGGACACUACACUAUCUUUCAUCUGGCAACCUGGCAAGUACAGCCAGGGCUGGAAGAAGCCACAGACCCAUGGAUGUUUGACAGCUUUUGUACUUUGGCACAGCCAGGCUGACUCUUAGGGACGCUUCUGUAAACCCUGAGCAUAGGCCAGGAAAAGAAAUAGGAAUGUGGUUCCUAUAGCAGCCAAGUGUCCCAGUGCUUGGGGCCAGGCCAGGGCCUGGUGGUGGGCAGGAGGCAGGACCUGGAGCCAUCCUCCCUACCUUGUCCCAGCCCACCGGCUGACCACCCCAACUAAGGGCCAUAUUGGCAGGGGUGGUGGGAUGAAGUUGGGGUGUCCACCAGAUAGCUGUGGUGCAGUCCCCGAGGGGGUGAGGAAGCAGCUCCCAGCCUGCUCCAGGGUGGCCUUCCCAUCCUGCUGCUAAGAGCUGGCCUCAGAGAGCUCUGUUCUGCAGCCAUAGCAAGAAUGGCGUUUUGGUGCCUUUCAAAGGCCUUGCCUGUGUUAAACAGUGAGGCAGACAGGAAAGAAAUUGUAAUGUACACAGACCCCUUCAUUUGAUGGAGGAGACUAAGGCCCUGAGAGGGGAAGGGACUCACCCAAGGUCACACAGCAGAGAAUGCUGGAUUCAGAACCAGAGUUAGACUCGGCCCUUCCCCUUCCCCCCGCACCUCCUGCAGGGCCCAUGGUGGAGCUGCUCCUGGAAGGUAGAACAGGAUGCCGUGCUGUCUGUUGACUUUGACACUUCCCUGGGGACUGUGGCCCAGAGCAGCUGUAGAGGUAAGUGGUGUGAAGUGGUGACGAGGAGAGAAGGUAGAGGCUGGAGCCAGGGCUGGGCCCGUGCUGUGGGAUCGGGAGUAAGUCAGGGCUCGGGGGCUCUUCUGUCCCCACAAGGAUAGGUUGUGUUUGGGCCCAGAGGACAGCCGUGAACUCAGACAGAGCAGCCAGCACAGCCCACUCCUGCCCCCGCUCCAGAUCUCUCCAGGGCUGGGCCUGAGCUGCCUCCUCUGGGCCACCUCCCUGAACUUGCCCCACCUCGCCACUCCUCUGUGCUUCUGCCCAGCAGUCCCUCGUCCUUUGUCCUCAGUCACAUCUCCAGGUCCUGCCAAGUGCCCACUCCCCUAGGAGACUCCCAGCCUGCUCCAGGGUGGCCUUCCCAUACUACUGCUCAGAGCUGGCCACAGGGAGCUCGGUUCCAAUGCACUCGGAGCCCUGAGGGCAGGUACUGUGCCUGGCUCUUCUCUGUCCCUAGCACCUGUCUCAGGGCCCACAGAGAGCAGGUGCAGAUACACAGUUGCAGAAUGAAUGGGAGGAUGGACAACUGAGGCAUAAAUAAAG